This 693-nucleotide long non-coding RNA is filed under the name Pan troglodytes (chimpanzee). Its description in RNAcentral is "long non-coding RNA NONPTRT006349". The record is from RNAcentral. Lineage: Eukaryota; Metazoa; Chordata; Mammalia; Primates; Hominidae.
UAAAAUAGGGCUGGCAACAGGACCCGGCCCUUGCCCUUGUGAAAACGAAGCCGGCUGAUACCCAAGGCCUGACACAGAAUCAGCCCCCAUCCUGAGCCUGCAUCAGCCAAGAAGGAAAAAGAUUCCACAGCCAACUGCAAGUGAGUGAUGGGCCCGCGGGGGUUCCUUAGGCUAGUCUAUGUCUGGCUGUUAGAAAUGUUGCAUAAUAAUAAAAAGCUUAACGUCCUCGCCUGCAGGGAGGGGCUAUUAAAAAAAAGCAGCAGCGUGUCCCCCGGCCCCUAAAGGCCCACCUCGCUGCCUCUCUUUGUCUCCCCAAAGCCCAGCCCCCACAGCACUCUUGUCUGACUAGGAGGACUUGAGAGGCCUGGCAGUGCCCAGGGCAGGUCGGGAGGAGUUGGAGCCUGGGUAGGUGCAGCAAGGUGGUCUGCAGGAGAAGAGAGUCAAGUGCAGGCUGAGCCAGACCCUCAGGGCCUGGGCACUGGAGGGCAGGGCAGGACAGAGGAGGCGGGAGGCCCGGCUGCCCUGGCAGGUUGGCGAGCAGACGCUGGCUUCGUAGACUUCACCAGCAUAGAACACAAGGCUGCCUCUGCAGGAGACCUGGAUCCAUGGAAGGGAUGUGGUGGAGCCCCCUGCAAACUCCCCUGUCUAAGCCCCAGCUCCCUCUCUGCCCCACAGCCAGUGCCUUGAGCAAAU